RNAcentral lists this long non-coding RNA (2032 nucleotides) under Equus caballus (horse). Its description in RNAcentral is "lncRNA (ENSECAG00000046541.1)". The record is from RNAcentral. Lineage: Eukaryota; Metazoa; Chordata; Mammalia; Perissodactyla; Equidae.
GGACCAUGACUGUCUUUACAAAGAGAAACACAAGACAUGGGCCUAUUUGCGUGGCUUGCCAAGCGGUGCCAUGUCCGCACCCCGGAUCUGAACCAGUGAACCCCAGGGCGCCGAAGUGGAACAUGGACACUUAACUGCUGUGCCACCGGGCAAGCCCCAAGAAAGUCACUUCUGAAAGUAUAUUUCCCCUCAAAGUGCUGAUCUAGGACAUAGCAGCAGUAGAAUCCACUUUGGGAAACUGUGCGAUCACUAACCUGAACGUGGAUGUGGAAGAUAUUACAAUUGUAAGAAUGGUCUAGUAGAAUAAUGAGUUUCAUGGACAAGAAAUCCAGAUGUUUCCCAGACAAGAGAAAAGCAGGAAAAUGGGAGUGACUAAACCCUUGAAGAUGCAGCCUCGCGGAUGUGGGCCUUGGUCUUCCCACUGCCUGUCCUCACAGCCUUGGACACCUCAGAACUCUGUGAAUACGUGAUGCAGGCCAGGAUGCUAACUAACCCCAGUUUGGUUUGGGUUCAUGUGGGAGUUCCAGAAGACCACUGAAAUUUGAUGACCAGGUCGAGAUAACUUUUUUUAAAACCACCUUAUUGAGAUUUUUGCUACGUCAGGAAACUACAGUUGUUGGCUGAUAGAAAAAUUACAGCAGCACUAUACAACGAGAGAGCUAUUUCUGCCCCUUGUCAGUGAAGUGUUACCGAUAUCUGAGAGUGAUCCAGCCGGAAGUCAGAGUUGUGAGUCCCAACUCAUGCAUGGAGUUUGUGAUACUUUCUUCAACAAAUGGUCAAGAGUAAUGCUCUAAGAAUAACAGCAAAAAUGCAAACUGGGGAAAAAUGCCCCCUGAGGUGCAGACAAUCUGCUGUCUUUGGAUAUAAUUAACUUUGGGAUAAGAAGAUUUUAGGAAAAUGCACAAUGAAGGACAGACACCAAGCACUCAGCAAACACUCUGGUUGAGUUUAAUUAGCAGUGAUUUUCAUGACACUAAAGUGAUUGUUUUUGAAACACAGCUGUCACUGCCUGUUGGCUGGGGUGAAGGAGGCAGCGCUAACUGCGUGAGAGAAGCAUUGUGGCCUCAAGGCAACACAGCAGAAACAGAGAAAGGCGCUUCAUCAACCUUGAAACUGCGCUAGAUAAAAUUUGGAGACGAAGGGGUAGGAAGGAGAGAAGGAAUCAGGGUUGUAAGUCUAGAUGGAGUACUUGGAGAGAAGGAGGGCGUCUCCUCUCCCUUUUCCACCCUCAGAAUCCCCAACCUUUUUAAAAAAAAGUGUGUGCUUUCUAUACACAACUUACAUUCAAGACUCCCUGGGGCUCUAUGUUUUUGAGGCUACAGUAAAGGAGUAAACCGAAUUUCUCUGACAGAUUUCAAUUUAAACCGCUAUAGUAACCACGGGAUGACUCAAUGGGCAGAUUAGAAAUUUUUUAGGAAUACUCCAAAUGGCAGAAUCUUGAGCAUAAUCCUUAUUUGAAUCACAGAGCUUUUUCUUUUAAAUUUCCUUUAUAAGAAAUUUAAGUUUCCUGAGUUGGAUUGUUGGGAAGAUGGGGACACUCUUUUGGAAAUUUUAUUAGUGGCGUAGAGGCACAGGUGCAUAGCAUAAUCAUUCUGUCCACACUCAAUUUCAUUGCCAAGAGGGGCCAGUUGGUGCUUCUAAGGAUUCCACUUGACUGACAGAUCACAGAAACUAUUGAGCACUGAGGCAUGAGGCGUGAUACAGCGAAUGUUCAUGUUUCCAAAAUUUGAAUAAAGUCCUAAAUUUCAGGGGAGGGGGCUGACUGAAUCAACAUUUCUAGGGAGGUGCACGCCACCCACAUAAAACUAUUGUCAAAGCUUUUGAGUUGACUUUCAUCCCCAGAUCUGGGCCAUGGCCUAUAACCAUUAUUCUAUCAAUAAGCUUUCCCCAUAUUUUGAAUAAGGAAGUAGAAAAAGCGAAUUAUGGCAACUGCACCCAUUAAAAGCUGCUUUUCAAGAAGAGGAAAUUAUGCUGCUAUCUACCAGAAUUAUCCCUGUGUGUUUGGUGCAAACAUAUGGGGCAUAACAUGUGG